AGUGAACGCUGGCGGUAGGCCUAACACAUGCAAGUCGAACGGCAGCACAGUAAGAGCUUGCUCUUACGGGUGGCGAGUGGCGGACGGGUGAGGAAUACAUCGGAAUCUACUUUUUCGUGGGGGAUAACGUAGGGAAACUUACGCUAAUACCGCAUACGACCUACGGGUGAAAGCAGGGGAUCUUCGGACCUUGCGCGAUUGAAUGAGCCGAUGUCGGAUUAGCUAGUUGGCGGGGUAAAGGCCCACCAAGGCGACGAUCCGUAGCUGGUCUGAGAGGAUGAUCGGCCACACGGGAAGUAGGGCACGGACCAGACUCCUACGAGAGGCAGCAGUGGGGAGUAUUGGACAAUGGGCGCAAGCAUGAACCAGCCAUACAGCGUGGAAGAAGAAGGCCUUCGGAUUGUGAAGCCCUUUUGUUGGGAAAGAAAAGCAGCAGGUUAAUAACCCGCUGUUCUGACGGUACCCAAAGAAUAAGCACCGGCUAACUUCGUG
RNAcentral lists this ribosomal RNA (492 nucleotides) under uncultured bacterium. Its description in RNAcentral is "partial 16S ribosomal RNA". It matches the Rfam family "Bacterial small subunit ribosomal RNA", at positions 29 to 507 of the family's 1533-position model. The record is from RNAcentral.